RNAcentral lists this long non-coding RNA (261 nucleotides) under Sorghum bicolor (sorghum). RNAcentral describes it as "long non-coding RNA (SBIC_LNC006475)". Lineage: Eukaryota; Viridiplantae; Streptophyta; Magnoliopsida; Poales; Poaceae. The record is from RNAcentral.
GCACUUUGACACUUGGCUUUUGCCGAUGCACCGGUUUGCUGCAAUAACGAAAAGGGGUUUAUAAGCACAGAUAUAGCCGAUAUAAAGAUGGUCAGUAUAAAAGAAAAAGGAUUGACAAAUUGCCUUGAAAGCCUGCGCCAAAGUGGAAGCAGCUACCGUUGGUGAUGUCUGAGUUCUCUUGAUGGUGACUUUCCUGAGGCGUACACCCCGAUGCACGACGGAAGCCAGAGUGGGAGCAUUAUGGCCAAUUGAGGAGAUCGG